This 509-nucleotide ribosomal RNA is filed under the name uncultured bacterium. RNAcentral's name for it is "bacterial SSU rRNA". It matches the Rfam family "Bacterial small subunit ribosomal RNA", at positions 28 to 526 of the family's 1533-position model. The record is from RNAcentral.
GAUGAACGCUAGCUACAGGCUUAACACAUGCAAGUCGAGGGGCAGCAUGUUGGUUGCUUGCAACCAAUGAUGGCGACCGGCGCACGGGUGAGUAACGCGUACCCAACCUUCCUCCUAGUAGGGCAUAGCCCGGCGAAAGACGGAUUAACACCAUAUGGUCUUUACGGCAGACAUCUAAUGUAAAGCAAAGAUUUAUCGCUAGGGGAUGGGGAUGCGUCCGAUUAGCUUGCAGGCAGGGUAACGGCCCACCGGGGCUGCGAGCGGUCGGGGUUUUGAGAGGAAGGUCCCACACAUUAGAACUGAGACACGGUCCAAACUCCUACGGGAGGCAGCAGUGAGGAAUAUUAGUCAAUGGUCUGACGACUGAACCAGCCAAGUAGCGUGCGAGAUGACGGCCCUAUGGGUUGUAAACCGCUUUUGCGGGGGAAUAAAGUGUCCUACGUGUAGGAUUUUGUAUGUACCCUGAGAAUAAGGACCGGCUAAUUCCGUGCCAGCCGCCGCAGUAACAC